Molecule: ribosomal RNA, 253 nt
Filed under: uncultured bacterium
Lineage: Bacteria
Description: partial 16S ribosomal RNA
Rfam family: Bacterial small subunit ribosomal RNA
Source: RNAcentral
UACAGGGGGGGCAAGCGUUGUUCGGAAUUACUGGGCGUAAAGGGUUCGUAGGUGGCCAACUAAGUCGGACGUGAAAUCCCUCAGCUUAACUGGGGAACUGCGUCCGAUACUGGAUGGCUUGAGUGCAGGAGAGGAACGCGGAAUUCCAGGUGUAGCGGUGAAAUGCGUAGAUAUCUGGAGGAACACCGGUGGCGAAGGCGGCGUUCUGGACUGUAACUGACACUGAGGAACGAAAGCCAGGGGAGCAAACGGG